CAUUCUCUCGGCGACCGCGCGCGAGCAUCGUUACUCGCGCACGGUGGUGGAAAUCGCAACGGAACUUCAGUGCAGCUGCAGCGAGCAGCUGACGCGGAAUCAUUCAGAUCCGCAGUAGAGCUCGCGCAGCGUAUGCGAACACUACGCGAUACGAUACGAGGCCAGACGAGACGAGACGAGACGAGACAAGACAAGACAAGAUACGACACGCAGUGCCAUCGGAUACACGCGCCUCAGUGUUGGACCAGCUCCGGCGAGAUUCGCCCGCGCGUGUCUCCGUAUCUCGUGCCGCAAAUGAACUCGCGUCGCGGGUGCGCGCGCGAGGGAGACUCUUCUGCUGCCGGUUCUUCUGUUGUGACUGCAUCUCGUUAUCAAUCGCGAACAGUGCGGUGUAUCGUCAAAAUCGUCGUCGCCGUCUCGAGGGUUCGCGACGAGGUGCAUCUCUGGCUGCAACGUCGGCGAACGAGCCGAGACGGCUGCUGAGAAAGGCGCCUGUAAAAGGCCGACGAAGGAAUACUCGCAGCAAAUUAUUGCGGCAGAGAUCAGAUGCAUCUAAACAUGGAGUUGACACGGUUACUUUCGAUACCGCUGACUUUGGCUUUGGCCCUGGCCUUCCUCCUCUCGGUGGCGCGUCUUUGCGACGCCACCUCGGAAAGUAUAAUAGGAAGCCGAGAGACCUGCGACACUGAGGGAGAAGACGUUACAGUCAAGAUUGUGAACACAAAAUGCUUCCGCUGCAUUUGUAAGAACGGAUUCGUCGAGUGUUUGAAACGACAAUGCCCGAACGUCGAAGGUUGCUACGCGUUGCUGGAGCCGCGAGACGACGAGUGUUGCUACAAGUGUACAGGAUGCAUACACAACGGCACUUAUCACGCAUCUGAGACGGAAUGGACGGAGACGGACCCGUGCCUCAUAUUUACCUGCAAAGCGGGCAUCAUCACCAGAGCAAAGCUAGAGUGUUACACGCCCUGCUCCAAUCCGAAACCGGCCCCACGUGGUCAAUGCUGCCCGACAUGCGACGGAUGCUUAGUGAACGGGCAGAAAGUCACCGCGGAUAGGUCGGUGACAACUGAGGACCCUUGCGUAACCUGUAGAUGCAACAACAAUAAGCUCAUAUGUGCAAAGUUAGCCUGUCCGAUACUCAGUUGUCCUGUCUCGAGGAUUGUUCACGAUCCUGGCAAGUGUUGUCCACGCUGUCGAGGCAGCGCAAGAUUCUUCCUACCUCCGAAAGGCGCGUGUAUGAUUGACAUGCGCGUAAUCGACUCGGGCUCCUUUCAUAAGGUGGAUGUAUGCACGUGGUGCAACUGCACCAAUUCGAUGCUCUCGUGUGAAAGGCAUACCUGUCCGGUACUGGAAUGUCCCAGCGAGCCCUCUCAGAACCCUAUGACCCGUCACUGUUGCCCGAAAUGUCCAACCGUUCUGGAGAGCAGGGCCUCCUGCUCUUAUGGCGGAAGAACUUAUCAGGAUGGCGAAAAUUGGAAUCUUGAUUCUUGCAAGACGUGCACCUGCAAACAGGGCAAGGUACGCUGUGCAAUGCCUAUGUGUCCGCAGUUGAAUCUUCCUUGCCCACCAAACUCAAAAUUAGAACAUCCGGAAGGUCAAUGCUGUCCUCGAUGCGUUGAAAGUGAUGGGAUUUGUACGGUUUUUGGAGACCCGCACUAUCGCACGUUUGACGGUAAAUUUUACAGCUUCAAGGGGGCAUGCAAAUAUCAAUUGGUCACUGAUUGUGUCUCUCGCACAUUUAGCAUACGUGUAACUAACGACGCAAGAAGAACAAAAUCUUCAGCAUGGACCAAAACCAUCGCUUUAAAAAUCGGUGACUUGAAAGUAAACCUUGGUCAAAAAAUGAGGGUGAAGGUAAACGGCAAGAAAGUGAACCUUCCUUAUCAUAUCACUAACCGAUUGGAUAUUAACUGUACGACUGACAGCGUGAUUGUCAACACGCACAUCGGGAUCAAGGUUCUCUGGGAUGGUAUCAGCUUUCUCGAAGUGUCCGUGCCUUCGUCGUACAGAGGUCGAUUAUGCGGUCUCUGCGGUAACUUCAAUUCCCAGACCAAGGACGAUUUCACGACGCGACGCGGCCGAUUGCUGCAGGAUGCGCAGAAAUUUGGUCAAUCUUGGGUCGUGAGCGCCAAAAAAACAUGCACUCGAUCUCCAAGAUUAGGAAAUGUUGAAAAGGAAGAACGUUGUCGAGGAAGAAAUCACCGACUGUGCAAUCGACUGAAAUCGCAAAUCUUCGACCCCUGUCACAAGAAGGUGAAUCCGAUGAUGUUCUUCAAAGCCUGCAUUCAGGACAUGUGCGAAUGCCCAACCCAGCAUUGUUACUGCCAGUCUUUCAUGGCAUACGCGCACGAGUGUAAGCGACUCGGAAUCCAGCUACCUCACUGGAGGAAGGCUACGAGGUGUCGAACAAUUUGGGACCAGUUGACGAAUUCGGCGAAUUCCACUUGCCACGGAUUUAAUUAAUCGCGCACUUUAUUCACCGCCGCGUCCGGCCUCUAAAAAUUCUAAUUCGCGAGAUAUGCAGUGAAACUCAUGUGAGCGAUAAACUCUUCGUUGCAACAUUUUGUACGCAUGUAAAGAGACUCUAUACGCAAUCCCAACCUCUUCUUAUCUUUUUUUUCAAGAUAACGUUUCAGUAUUCGUGACUAUAUCACGAAUAAUAAAGAAGAAGAGAUAUAAUGUUGUGAAAUAAUUAGCGCGUGAUAUAUAUAUAUAUCUAAAAAUCGUGCAAUAAUUAAAAAAAAAUAUUCUCAGGAAUUCUCGGAAUCGAUUUUCAAAAUAGUAUUUUUGUUUAAAAUCGUAUUUUCCAUUAAAUGAGAUAAAAUUUUCGAUAUUUAAAUACUUGAUAAGAGCUAAUAUAAGUAAUACCGGGAACAAAGCAUACUUCUUAGCAGUCUCUGACAGAUAUCGCAAUGGAUUAAUUCGGGAUAAAUAUUCAUAAACGCUUAUUUAUUCAUAGAGCAACAUAAUAUGCACGCAGUACUUAUAAGUCUGUCAUCUAUAAUGAAAAACGAUGAUAGACUUAUAAGUACCGCAUGAAUAUUAUGUUAAUGCGAUAAAAAAAUAUUUUGCUGUCUAUAUCACGCGAAAUACAAUAUAGAGGAAUAUAAAUGGCUGAAACGCCAUCUCAGAAUAAUCGCGGUUAUUACAAAUUAUUGUAAUAUGAUGUAAAAUUGUUCUUUUUAUCUCGUUUUAAGCUUUCUCUUCAAUAUUUUUCGCGAUAUUAUCUCUUCUUCUAUCUCUGGGAAACUCUUGUUGGCGGGAACAUACAGACCGGACGCGGCCGAGUGCUCGGCAAAAACCUACUAGUCACCACUUCGUAUCAAUAUGCAUUAAGUCAAACUCUGACUCGAGUGUCUCUAGUAACGAUCGUCUAUCGAGGUGAAGCGAUAGCGAUUUCUCGUUCGUUCGCACGGAAAUCUCAUGCGGGUCACAGCAGCCAUGACGCCUGGAAAUAUGGAUCUCACGUGUGUAUAUCACGAUUUCACGCGGAAUCCCAUAAAUCCGACAGAGAGCAUCGCGAAUCAACUAGCAGAGUCGCGCAUAGAAUGGAAAAUGGAUGAUCUUGUGUCGCGAAAUCAAACGAAAGUAAAAAAAAAAUUCAUAUUUUACAUUGAAUACUGAAUUAAUACUUGGCGUAUUUUUCUGAAUCUUAUAUAGGUAUAAGCUAGUGUAUCAUAAAUUGAGAAUGGCACAUUUAAUCCUAGAUCGUCUCUAGCGUGAGAUAUUGAAUUAUUAUUGCGAACAAAAUUAAUGUGACAUGUUAUAUAAUUGAUAAAACGUAUUAUAAGUAUUGUUAAUUAUAUUAUAAUUUGAUAAUUCUCUCAUCGGCUUUAGAAAGAUGGAAAUUUUUACUUUUAAUAAUUGUGUGAAAGCUUAUGAAUUUUACAUAUACUUCAUUGAAACAUAUAUACGGUCACUUAAUUAAACGUAUCUUCAAGAAUAAAAUCCUAUUGAGCAAUAGACGUAUAUUAAUGAAACGAGAUCAGUACGCUCGAAAUUGUGAGAACGACUUUGUAAGCAGCAAGUAGCGAUGCCUUGUAAUGUUUCGGAGCACCGUGCAGUAUUUCGGCCGAUGAGCAGGCUCGCGGCAUAGCAUGUACAUCCCAAUUUAACACAAUCGAUUAAUUAUAUAUAUACAUAAUUAUAUAAUACACGUACAGAUAUAUAGAUAUGUAUAGACUCCACGCGGAUCCUUAGAAUCCAUAGAACGAAUCGCGCAUUCAUAUAUCCGUAGCCCCGCAUACUUUUCAUAGGCUCUCGGAUUCUCAAAAUCCAUGUUUCGAUAAGUCACAGAACCCACAGAUUCGUGCUUUUAUAAGUUAUUAUUCUCUCGAGAUUUUUUAAAUUAAUCUAUAAAUUCUUCGCUUUACAAAUCCAUGCUUUUACGGGUCUUUCAAUCUGCAAAUUUAUGAUCGCACGAAUAUUUGGAAUCUGUAAUUCAUGAUAAGGAAUUCUUAGAAUCCAUAUAGAUUUCUACUUCCACAGAUCUUUAGAUGUAUAGAGAUCUGCGGUUUGUUAGACUCUUACAUUUUCAUUAUGUAGAAUUAGGAGGGGACAUUUUCCCGCUUCGUCUUCGACGACGAGUAUACUUUUUUUACCUUCUAUAUGUAUUUACAUAACGUGUAGAAAUUUAUGUUAACUUUAGCGAGACGUUUACAAAUUGUACAUAGAAAGACACGAUUAUUAAACGAAUACUAAUCACGA
Molecule: RNA transcript, 4710 nt
Organism: Camponotus floridanus (Florida carpenter ant)
Lineage: Eukaryota; Metazoa; Arthropoda; Insecta; Hymenoptera; Formicidae
Gene: cv-2
Gene name: BMP-binding endothelial regulator protein
Exons: 12
Source: RefSeq, a predicted model, not a curated record